GAUAGUCUUUGAGGCAAGGUGCGGAAUGUAAGCAUUCCAAUUCCUGACCGGCGGUCAUAGUCCGCAAACUCUGAAAUGGGUUGACUCGGUGCGAUUCCGAGACCGACAGUAUAGUCUGGAUGGGAAAAGACACGC
RNAcentral lists this non-coding RNA (135 nucleotides) under Veillonella sp. RNAcentral describes it as "FMN sequence". It matches the Rfam family "FMN riboswitch aptamer (RFN element)". From Rfam's summary of the family: The RFN element is a highly conserved domain that is found frequently in the 5'-untranslated regions of prokaryotic mRNAs that encode for flavin mononucleotide (FMN) biosynthesis and transport proteins. This element is a metabolite-dependent riboswitch that directly binds FMN in the absence of proteins. In Bacillus subtilis, the riboswitch most likely controls gene expression by causing premature transcription termination within the 5' untranslated region of the ribDEAHT operon and precluding access to the ribosome-binding site of ypaA mRNA. Lineage: Bacteria; Bacillati; Bacillota; Negativicutes; Veillonellales; Veillonellaceae. The record is from RNAcentral.